UACGGGGGGGGCAAGCGUUGUUCGGAAUUACUGGGCGUAAAGGGCUCGUAGGUGGCCAACUAAGUCAGACGUGAAAUCCCUCAGCUUAACUGGGGAACUGCGUCUGAUACUGGAUGGCUUGAGUUUGGGAGAGGGAUGCGGAAUUCCUGGUGGAGCGGUGAAAUGCGCAGAGAUCAGGAGGAAUACCGGUGGCGAAGGCGGCAUCCUGGACCAACACUGACGCUGAUGAGCGAAAGCCAGGGGAGCAAACGGG
This 253-nucleotide ribosomal RNA is filed under the name uncultured bacterium. Its description in RNAcentral is "partial 16S ribosomal RNA". It matches the Rfam family "Bacterial small subunit ribosomal RNA", at positions 524 to 776 of the family's 1533-position model. The record is from RNAcentral.